CGACCGGAGGAACUCCCAUGAUGCCCUGUCCAAAAGCACAUUGCUGACGUGGCAGGUCCUGGUCCGAACGCCACAGUAUUUAACGCACUUUAUAAGCGCACGAGUCAGAUGUCUACCUGCUUUGCCGUGCGUUUUAUUGUCCCCGCAGUUCAGAAGUUGCACGCUGUUUUUCACAAGUCACGUCCCGUGCCAGCUUCGGCCCAAACAGAAGGACACAGAAUCACUUCACAGGACUGUCAAAGACCGCAAGAACAGACCUGAAAACGAGCGCGUGGAUUUGAAGAUAUUUUGUGGACUUGAUGAGCAUCUUCAGCGGAUCAGGUGCCACGGGGCGAGACGCGUUUGCGAGCGCGAGAACCUGGUGUCGCUCGGAUGAUGCCAGAGGUCAAGGGUCAGCAACAGUUAAUAAGAGGAGCUGUCUGAGGUCCCAGAGGUCAUUCCCAAGGGGCUGACCCGCUUGUCGACAACACUUAAUGCGAAUCCACCUCGACCCGCAGCCCACACCAGAGCAGCGGCAGGCCCUUCGGAGCAGCGAAAACCCAUUUUGGAAGUACUGACCUGCAACUUACCCGUUCCUGAUCCGGAAUUCUGGAGUGAAGCGGCUCCGUUCUGGGACAGGUGCCAGUUGCUCACAAAAGGCGACCGAAAAUCGGUGAUCUGCACGUUGUUGGGAGUGUAAGGAAAACGGCAUGCAACUAUCGCAGAAAAAAAAGUGAAGGAUGGUCGCGAGGGGAGGGGAAGAUGUAGAAAAAGAGGAUCGUGAAGGAGGAGGUGGGGGGGCGUUCAACACUCCUCGGGCCUCCGAGAGCUGAUCGCAUGUGCCGUGGAAACCACGGGACCAUUUGCAUGCGGCAGACACGCUAAUUGUGUGUUUGCUAACACGCACCAUUCAGCGAGACGCGCUCCGGUCCGCAGACGGGGUUCACACACGCCUCCCAGACGCCCCGGAGGCCUCCUAUUGUUCCAGAGGCCCAGCCGAGCAGCCGGCGAGCCUAACCAGAUCCCUGCGCUGAGAGGGUGGACUGGAAUUCGAGACCGGGAUAGCGGAACGGGACGGCUUGCUUUUUCUCUCUGCAGCAAGACAUCUAAAGAAAAAGAGGCCUGCGGAAAGCACUGCCUCCGGACGCUGACGUCCUCGCAGAUGUGUUUUGAAAUGGACUAACGGAGAUGCAGUGCUGCACAGGACCUGAUAGACAGACAUGGUCACCACGAACCGUCGUCGUAUGGAAAGAGCAGUGAGAAGAUUCUUCAGAAUUCACCUUCUGUGUUUCACGGACGAGUUUGAACAACACGAGGGAGAUGAAGUUGAACACCACGUCUGCAGCGGAUCUGAAUGCACCGGAAGUGUGUGAUUUUAUGUUACGUCGCAUUGGUACGUGCAUUCAGGUGACAGACACACUGCUCUGCUACAUUUUAUUCAUAAAUACAAAAUUAUUGCCGUUUUAUUUAUAAAAAUCAUGUCUUGCAUACGAUAUAUAUGGAAUUCAUUUUAAUUGUACCGUUGUUGAAGUCUAGCCUCAAACUCACUGCUGAUUGGUUCUCUGGUUAGUGCAGUGACGUGCAGCUUCACGUUAGCUAUGUUUCCAUCCAAAGCUGUGAACUUAACUUAUGCGCAACAUUGGAAUAUCGCAAAAAACAUUUGCAAAUAAAGCACAGUGAGUCGAAGAGAACAAAAUCAUCACUUCCUGAUAAACUGGCGCUAAAUAUGACUAAGAAAAGCAGAAGUAGAAAAAUAAUUUUCGUAUAUAAUAAACGAAAGGAAGCGCGCAGACGAAACGCAAUAAACGUGGAAGUUGUGAAAGACAGUUCUUAAGGUAAUUAUACUGAUCCACUUCGACGACAGACUUUGCUCAGGCAUUACAGAAUGACCAAAACAGCAUUUCAGAUGUUGUGCAAAAAGAUCAGUCCGCUGGUUAGUCCAGUUAUGCCGUCCCAUCAGGCAAAGUCACAUGACUUUUUUGAUACGCCUUGAAGUAAAUGUGUUUCCAUCGCAAAACAAAAUUAUCCGACUCAGUUGAGCAUAUAAGUUUUUCAUGGGCAUUUUUAGAGUUUAAGCGUGUCUUGGCAUUUCCAUCCAGCAGUUUCUUAUGCGAUAUCCCAAAAUGUGCAUAAAAAUAUGUGGAUGGAAACAUAACAGUGUUGGAGAAAGUUACUUUUAAAAGUAAUGCAUUACAAUAUUGCAUUACUCCCUAAAAAAGUAACUAAUUGUGCGUUUGAAAAUUUGGCGUUUUCAUCACUUUCUAAUGGGAUACAAAAAAUUUCGCAUAAAAACAGGGUGAUGGAAACUGAAAAAAUGGUGUCCUGAACAUUUUUAUUGUUCAUUUCAUAAACUUGCACCAGCAUGUGACGCAUUCAUUGGUGUUGCUCGUACAUCAGAGACUCUUCUUACAUGCGCUACCGUUCAAAAGUCGUACGUUUUUUUAAAUAUUUUUGAAAGAAGUCUCUUCUGCUCAUCAAGCUUGCAUUGAUUUGAUUAAAAAUACAGUAAAAUCAGUAAUAUUGUGAAACAUUAUUACUAUAUAAAAUAGCUGUUUCCUAUGUGAAUAUAUGUUAAAAUGUGAUCAAAGCUGAAUUUUCAGAAAUCAUUCUAAUAUGCUGAUUUGCUGCUUAAGAAACAUUUCUGAUUAUUAUCAAUGCUGAAAAUAUGAUUAUGGAAACCGUGAUACAUUUUUUUCAGGAUUCUUUGAUGAACAGAAAGUUUAAAAAAACAGCAAUCUUUUUUUUAACAUUAUAAAUGCCUUUACUGCCACUUUUUAUUAUUUUAAUGCAUCCGUUUAUAGUGUUCACAUGUGCAUUUCUGAAUUUCACAUUCAUAUGUGGCUGUGUUUUGAGAUGCACGCUCGUAUGAAUGUGAAUCGUUCUGCCUCUGUGUUUGCACUCACACAUACUUUUUGCGCUGCAUAUGUGUGACUUUACCUUCUCGCUGCAUUCGCCCGCAGUGCCCUGCUGUAACUCAUGCGCUCUCAGUCGUAGAGGUCACGCAGGGGUCACGGCGUCUGCGGCGUCGACCCUCCCCCACAGCCAGACACAAGCCUCGCGCAGUCCGUCCAGUCCCGCACAUCUGUAACAGGAGCUGUUGGCGUAUAAAAAUAGCUGCUUCAGGCCUCUGCCCUGUGAACCCGGGGGCCGGCAGAGCCUCUCUUGCCCUAUUUAGCAUCUGCCGAGCAAACUCAGCUGUCUGGAUUCCUCCCGUCUGCACCUGGGGCCCCUCGGGGCCGCACCAUCGUCGCGGGGCGAUCCUGAUUAAAGGGUGUGCUGGGUAACCAGAUUAUAGAAACCCAAGAGGAAAUCGGUUAGCAGUUUUAUGGGGGUUUUGGUCUCAAUCAAAAAUGCAUUUAAAUGCAAUUUAUAUUUAUGUUUUAAAAAUCUGGAUUAUGAUUCUGGCUUAAUGUCAAGGUCGAGGCUGUGUAACCGCCCUGUGAUCAUAAAUAGUUUGGAAAAACUGCUUAUCAAAUCAAUAUCACUGUGGUAUAACCAACAUGCAGGAAGCUAUUUUGCUGUCAUGUGGCAAUAAAACCAUAAAACAAGAAAUGAAAUCACAGAAAGGACAGUUGUAAAACUUCAAAUGUUCAACAUUUUAUCGCUUAUGUAUUAGUCAAAAAAAUGAAACAACAAAAUUAUAUUAUAUUACAAAAUUUAUAUUAAAUAAUGUAAUAUUUAAAAUAAAUAUUAAAUAUGUAAUCAUUAUUAUUUAAUAUAUAUAAUUAUAUUUAUAUAUAACAUUAUAAUAUAUAACAUUAUUUUAAUAAUUAUUAAAUAAAAUAUUUAAAUAAAUAAUGAAAAUAAUUAUUUAAUUAAAU
Ctenopharyngodon idella (grass carp) is the source of this 3800-nucleotide long non-coding RNA. RefSeq lists it as uncharacterized. The record is from RefSeq and is a predicted model, not a curated record. The transcript is spliced from 7 exons. Lineage: Eukaryota; Metazoa; Chordata; Actinopteri; Cypriniformes; Xenocyprididae.